CAGGCUAUAGAAUUAUUGGGUAAGACAUCAUCUUCAUGAGAGAUUGUUGUGUAAGAAGCAAUAUUGUCAAGCAAAGCCAGAGACCUAAACAGGACAGAGAAUAGAAGUGGUAUCGAUAAAAAAAAGGAGGCUUUGUCAUUAUCAAUCUGUUAAGAAUUUAACAGACAUCCAUACAUGUUUCAUUAAUACAGGACAUCAGAUCGAACGGCAAGCUGAUUUCCACCCAGGUAUUGGUCUGCUCUGCAAACUUCCA
This is a non-coding RNA of Elaeis guineensis (African oil palm), 253 nucleotides long. NCBI's taxonomy places the organism in Eukaryota, Viridiplantae, Streptophyta, Magnoliopsida, Arecales, Arecaceae. The record is from RefSeq and is a predicted model, not a curated record.